RNAcentral lists this long non-coding RNA (1206 nucleotides) under Homo sapiens (human). Its description in RNAcentral is "HSALNT0188012". The record is from RNAcentral. Lineage: Eukaryota; Metazoa; Chordata; Mammalia; Primates; Hominidae.
CAGAAAAUGACUGAUUGAGAUGAGAUGUUGGUGAACAGCAUCUUGACCCUUGGGUCAAGUGACAGUAAAGGACUCAGGAUGUACGCAUGGAGAAAGCUUUCAGGAAGUGGGACCAGCAUGAAAUAAAGCUGUGAGGUGAGGAAGAGCUUAUUUUAAAAACUAGAUGUGGCAAUGGGGGAACAGUGUGCCUCAGACACUGAGCAGAGGGCAAAUGGCAUGAAGUGAUGAUGGUGAGGGAGGGGAUGAGUCCCAUGGGCUCUACUCUGAGUGUAAUGAGAAGCCUUUGAAUGGUUAAUCAACUUUGUAACAUAAUCCAGUUUCCACAAUAGGAACUUUUCAUGCAAUGUGAGGAAUGAAUUGUGAGGGGAAGAAUGGAAGAGGAGACCACAAAGAAGCAGUUGCAAGAGUCCAAGUCGGAAAUACUGGCAUCAAGGACCUGAAUGAUAACAGAGGAAAUGGGGAGUAGAGGACAAAAUGAGAUUUGCCUUUGAGGUUUAGAACUCACUGACUUCAGAGACAGAACACAGGUCAUUGAGAUAAAUUAACUACAGGAAAUGAGGAAAAGGAACAAGUCAAGAGAAACCAGAAAAUUUCUGUCUCAGGCAGCUGGGAGGAUGAGAACAAGCAAGUUGAGUUUUGAGAUGACCCUGGAGCAUUGUUGGCAACAAAUGAUUCAUGGACCACCACUCAUCUAUAGACCAGACAUUAGUAAGAUGUGCUUGCUUCUCCUUCGCCUUUCACCAUGACUGUAAGUUUCCAGAGGCCUCCCAGUCAUGGUUCCUGUUAAGCUUGCAGAACGGGUUUAUCCUGAAGCUGAUGAUUGAAAAAUGAAUCCUCAAACGUACUUCUAGGCCUCUACCAUCCAGGGAUCCUGCUACCUUCAUUAAAAUCAGGGAGCCAAUUUCAAAUGCAACAUCUACUAACAUCUCUGAAAACAAAACUCCACUAAAGUGCUUUUUCAAAAAUGCUGGUGUUUCCCUCAACAGUGGAUUUCUCAAAACCUUGAAAAGAGAGUGUCUUAUAAAUCCUCAGGGAACAACAUUUGCUGGGGGGAGGGAUGGGUCAUUCCUUCUCUCUCUAAGUCUUUGCAUUUUUUCCUGUGCAUUUUACCAAUAAAUUUCUGUCAUUCCAACCAGCUUCAGCUAGUAGCAGUUUUGAAUCUACGUUUUAGUAAGCCAACUAAUUAUCAUUAAAAGUAUAUCUGAG